CCUACGGGAGGCAGCAGUGGGGGAUAUUGCACAAUGGGGGAGACCCUGAUGCAGCGACGCCGCGUGUGGGAAGACGGUCCUCUGGAUUGUAAACCACUGUCCCCAGGGACGAAGAUGACGGUACCUGGGGAGGAAGCUCCGGCUAACUACGUGCCCGCAGCCGCGGUAAUACGUAGGGAGCGAGCGUUGUCCGGAUUUACUGGGUGUCAAGGGAGCGUAGGCGGGACUGCGAGUUGGGGGUAAAAUCUACCGGCGCAACCGGUAGCCGCACUCAAAACUGCCGGUCUUGAGUGAAGUAGAGGCACGCGGAAUUCGUAGGGGAGCGGUGAAAUGCGUAGCUAUUAGGAGGAACCCCAGUGGCGAAGGCGGCCUGCCGGGCUUUUACUGACGCUGAGGCUCGAAAGUGUGGGGAGCAAACAGGAUUAGAUACCCCAGUAGUC
This 440-nucleotide ribosomal RNA is filed under the name uncultured bacterium. Its description in RNAcentral is "partial 16S ribosomal RNA". It matches the Rfam family "Bacterial small subunit ribosomal RNA", at positions 338 to 795 of the family's 1533-position model. The record is from RNAcentral.